Molecule: ribosomal RNA, 119 nt
Filed under: Pteropus alecto (black flying fox)
Lineage: Eukaryota; Metazoa; Chordata; Mammalia; Chiroptera; Pteropodidae
Source: RNAcentral
GACUACGGCCAUGCCACCCUGAACAAGCCCGAUCCCAUCUGAUCUCAGAAGCUAAGCAGGGUCAGGCCUGGUUAGUACUUGGAUGGGAGACCACCUAGGAAGACCAGGUACUGUAGGCG